UAUUUACACUCAACCAAAUACCUUUUCCACUGGACUGUACAAUCUAUACAUGAUCUAUCAAAAUUACAAACAGUAAUAACAAAAGACCUAGGAUUGGUCCGACCUCCUCUAGACUCUGAGUGGACAAUGUGGAAGGAAUGUCAACUAGGAGAUGAGGACUGCUGAACGGAUCACCAAAAAGGAACUAACAUAUAAAAGAAAUAAGAGUGAGUACAACAUACUCAGUGAGCGGAUAAAUAAAUAACAAAGGGGAAAAGAUAAGUUUAGGUACUUAAUAGUACCAAAUAUUUAGCGAAAAUAAGUCAGCUGAAUAAAUACAAUGUAAAUUCCAUUAACAUAAAAUAAACUGUGAAAAAUAGAAUCCGCAUACACUCAUAAUAUGUUCCCUGCAGAUAAUGCUGGCAUCUCAAGUGUAAUAAAAUAAUAACAGCCUGAGAGCAAUGCUGACAUCUUAGGCUCUAUAAUGACAAAUUUGGCCCAAGAGCAAAUAAAAUGCUGGUCAUACACAUGUGCAGAGCUACCCCCAAAGGGUGACCACCUGACAUACGCCCCAAAGGCUAUUUGUAUAUCAAGCGCUGUCCCAAAGACAGUAUAAAUAUAUAUCAUGCUGAAAAUAAAUCACCUGUCAUCAAGGUGUUAUCUGUUCGGUGCAUAUACAGAGUGUAAUCGGCUAUUUAUUCAGCUGUGCUUUAAAUUAAAUUUCCAUUUAUUUAAGAAAUAUAAAAUAACGUUAUCCUUUCCCAUUUUAAAUAAACAAAAUAACAUAUACACAUAUAAAUAUAUUUAAGAAAAAUAUCAAUGUUAUGUAUUUAUCCACUCACCAAAACAGAGGACAAAAAGACCUAGGUUGCAGGAGCACCCCUAUUGUCUAUCCUGGAAGCUGGAUCCUCUCCUAGAAUUAAAAAGAAAAAUAAAUAAUAUAUCAAAUAAUAAAUAAAUAUUCUAGAAUAAAAAUAUAAAACGUAAAAUACAAAAUUUUAAAUAUAUUUAUAUAUAUAUAUUUUGAAGAAAAUUUCGGCAGUAUUUCGGCAUAGUUAGUCCUCCCAAAAAUACUCAAACUCAACAAAAAUACUCAAUAAGCUGUAAAUAUUAUUUAAAUCAAAUUAUGAAAAUCAUAAAUUCCAAAAAUAAAUAUUAAAACUCAUUAAUUAAAUCUAACUAAAACAUAUACCCUUUUUAUGCUCAAAUCACCAAAAUUACUAUUAAAAGGUAGAGAAAAUAAAUUAUAUCGUAAAAAUUUGAAUAAAAGGGACAAAACUCACCUACCCAAUUUUGGAGCCUCUAGAAGAAAUUAUUGAAUUUCUGAGCGGAAUAUAGGUUUAAAUCAGGAUCUAGCUGAAGGAUCUUAGAAGUUUGUGGGUUGAUUGGGUUGAGGAAGAAGAGAUUUAGAUUUAAAGAAAAGGAAAUUUUUUUUUUAUUUAUUUAUUUAUGGGCUGGGCCCGAUAAUUCUCUCCUCCUAAAAGAAAUUUCGUCCUCGAAAUUUACAUACCUGGUGAAGGGAAUAAAUGUGGAAAUUGAAUUUGCAUAUUCUCUUCUUUUUCCCAGGUAGCUUCUUUAGCA
RNAcentral lists this long non-coding RNA (1560 nucleotides) under Manihot esculenta (cassava). Its description in RNAcentral is "long non-coding RNA (MESC_LNC011328)". Lineage: Eukaryota; Viridiplantae; Streptophyta; Magnoliopsida; Malpighiales; Euphorbiaceae. The record is from RNAcentral.